This 497-nucleotide ribosomal RNA is filed under the name uncultured bacterium. Its description in RNAcentral is "partial 16S ribosomal RNA". It matches the Rfam family "Bacterial small subunit ribosomal RNA", at positions 28 to 507 of the family's 1533-position model. The record is from RNAcentral.
GAUGAACGCUGGCGGCGUGCCUAAUACAUGCAAGUCGAGCGAACAGACGAGGAGCUUGCUCCUCUGACGUUAGCGGCGGACGGGUGAGUAACACGUGGAUAACCUACCUAUAAGACUGGGAUAACUUCGGGAAACCGGAGCUAAUACCGGAUAAUAUAUUGAACCGCAUGGUUCAAUAGUGAAAGACGGUUUUGCUGUCGCUUAUAGAUGGAUCCGCGCCGCAUUAGCUAGUUGGUAAGGUAACGGCUUACCAAGGCAACGAUGCGUAGCCGACCUGAGAGGGUGAUCGGCCACACUGGAACUGAGACACGGUCCAGACUCCUACGGGAGGCAGCAGUAGGGAAUCUUCCGCAAUGGGCGAAAGCCUGACGGAGCACCGCCGCGUGAGUGAUGAAGGUCUUCGGAUCGUAAAACUCUGUUAUUAGUGAAGAACAAAUGUGUAAGUAACUAUGCACGUCUUGACGGUACCUAGUCAGAAAGCCACGGCUAACUACGUG